GAUGAACGCUAGCGGGAGGCUUAACACAUGCAAGUCGAGGGGCAUCACGAGGUAGCAAUACUUUGGUGGCGACCGGCGCACGGGUGAGUAACACGUAUGCAACCUACCCUGUACAGGGGGAUAACCCGGAGAAAUUCGGACUAAUAUCCCAUGAUGAUAUUGAGGGGCAUCCUUUAAUAUUUAAAGCUCAGGCGGUACGGGAUGGGCAUGCGGAACAUUAGCUAGUUGGCAGGGUAACGGCCUACCAAGGCUACGAUGUUUAGGGGACCUGAGAGGGUUAUCCCCCACACUGGUACUGAGACACGGACCAGACUCCUACGGGAGGCAGCAGUGAGGAAUAUUGGUCAAUGGGCGCAAGCCUGAACCAGCCAUCCCGCGUGAAGGAAGAAGGCGCUAUGCGUUGUAAACUUCUUUUCCAGGGGGUGAAUAAUUCCGAUGUAUCGGGAGAUGACGGUACCCUGGGAAUAAGCAUCGGCUAACUCCGUG
Molecule: ribosomal RNA, 486 nt
Filed under: uncultured bacterium
Lineage: Bacteria
Also listed under: 1 other name
Description: bacterial SSU rRNA
Rfam family: Bacterial small subunit ribosomal RNA
Source: RNAcentral